This 253-nucleotide ribosomal RNA is filed under the name uncultured bacterium. Its description in RNAcentral is "partial 16S ribosomal RNA". It matches the Rfam family "Bacterial small subunit ribosomal RNA", at positions 524 to 776 of the family's 1533-position model. The record is from RNAcentral.
UACGGGGGGGGCAAGCGUUGUUCGGAAUUACUGGGCGUAAAGGGCUCGUAGGCGGCCAACUAAGUCGGAUGUGAAAUCCCCAGGCUCAACUUGGGAACUGCAUCCGAUACUGGAUGGCUUGAAUUCGGGAGAGGGAUGCAGAAUUCCAGGUGUAGCGGUGAAAUGCGUAGAUAUCUGGAGGAACACCGGUGGCGAAGGCGGCAUCCUGGACCGAUACUGACGCUGAGGAGCGAAAGCCAGGGGAGCAAACGGG